This 433-nucleotide ribosomal RNA is filed under the name uncultured bacterium. Its description in RNAcentral is "partial 16S ribosomal RNA". It matches the Rfam family "Bacterial small subunit ribosomal RNA", at positions 29 to 507 of the family's 1533-position model. The record is from RNAcentral.
AACGAACGCUGGCGGCAUGCCUAACACAUGCAAGUCGAACGAGACCUUCGGGUCUAGUGGCGCACGGGUGCUUAACGCGUGGGAACCUGCCCUUAGGUUCGGAAUAACUCCCCGUAAGGGGUGCUAAUACCGGAUAGUGUCUUCGGACCAAAGAUUUAUCGCCUUUGGAUGGGCCUGCGUUGGAUUAGCUAGUUGGUAGGGUAAAAGCCUACCAAGGCGACGAUCCAUAGCUGGUCUGAGAGGAUGAUCAGCCACACUGGGACUGAGACCCGGCCCAGACUCCUACGGGAGGCAGCAGUCGGGAAUAUUGGACAAUGGGCGAAAGCCUGAUCCAGCAAUGCCGCGUGAGUGAUGAAGGCCUUAGGGUUGUAAAGCUCUUUUACCCGGGAUGAUAAUGACAGUACCGGGAGAAUAAGCGCCGGCUAACUCCGUG